Molecule: ribosomal RNA, 497 nt
Filed under: uncultured bacterium
Lineage: Bacteria
Description: partial 16S ribosomal RNA
Rfam family: Bacterial small subunit ribosomal RNA
Source: RNAcentral
GAUGAACGCUGGCGGUGUGCCUAAUACAUGCAAGUCGAGCGAACAGACGAGGAGCUUACUCCUCUGACGUUAGCGGCGGACGGGUGAGUAACACGUGGAUAACCUACCUAUAAGACUGGGAUAACUUCGGGAAACCGGAGCUAAUACCGGAUAACAUGUUGAACCGCAUGGUUCAACAGUGCAAGACGGUCUUGCUGUCACUUAUAGAUGGAUCCGCGUCGCAUUAGCUAGUUCGUAAGGUAACGGCUUACCAAGGCAACGAUGCGUAGCCGACCUGAUAGGGUGAUCGGCCACACUGGCACUGAGACACGGUCCAGACUCCUACGGGAGGCAGCAGUAGGGAAUCUUCCGCACUGGGCGAAAGCCUGACGGAGCCACGCCGCGUGAGUGAAGAAGGUCUUCGGAUCGUAAAACUCUGUUAUUAGGGAAGAACAAGUGUGUAAGUUACUAUGCACGUCUUGACGGUACCUAAUCGGAAAGCCACGGCUAACUACGUG